GUGCCAGCCGCCGCGGUAAUACGUAGGUCCCGAGCGUUGUCCGGAUUUAUUGGGCGUAAAGCGAGCGCAGGUGGUUUAAUAAGUCUGAUGUAAAAGGCAGUGGCUCAACCAUUGUGUGCAUUGGAAACUGUUAGACUUGAGUGCAGUAGAGGAGAGUGGAAUUCCAUGUGUAGCGGUGAAAUGCGUAGAUAUAUGGAGGAACACCGGUGGCGAAAGCGGCUCUCUGGACUGUAACUGACACUGAGGCUCGAAAGCGUGGGUAGCAAACAGGAUUAGAUACCCUGGUAGUCCACGCCGUAAACGAUGAGUGCUAGUUGUUUGGGGCUAUCCAGCCCUAAGUGACGCAGCAAACGCAUUAAGCACUCCGCCUGGGGAGUACGACCGCAAGGUUGAAACUCAAAGGAAUUGACGGGGGCCCGCACAAGCGGUGGAGCAUGUGGUUUAAUUCGAAGCAACGCGAAGAACCUUACCAGGUCUUGACAUACCAGUGCUAUUCUUAGAGAUAAGAAGUUACUUCGGUACACUGGAUACAGGUGGUGCAUGGUUGUCGUCAGCUCGUGUCGUGAGAUGUUGGGUUAAGUCCCGCAACGAGCGCAACCCCUAUUGUUAGUUGCCAUCAUUAAGUUGGGCACUCUAGCGAGACUGCCGGUAAUAAACCGGAGGAAGGUGGGGAUGACGUCAAAUCAUCAUGCCCCUUAUGACCUGGGCUACACACGUGCUACAAUGGUUGGUACAACGAGUCGCAAGCUAGUGAUAGCAAGCUAAUCUCUUAAAGCCAAUCUCAGUUCGGAUUGUAGGCUGCAACUCGCCUACAUGAAGUCGGAAUCGCUAGUAAUCGCGGAUCAGCACGCCGCGGUGAAUACGUUCCCGGGCCUUGUACACACCGCCCGU
This 891-nucleotide ribosomal RNA is filed under the name uncultured bacterium. Its description in RNAcentral is "bacterial SSU rRNA". It matches the Rfam family "Bacterial small subunit ribosomal RNA", at positions 505 to 1397 of the family's 1533-position model. The record is from RNAcentral.